This is a long non-coding RNA of Crotalus tigris (Tiger rattlesnake), 1331 nucleotides long. RefSeq lists it as uncharacterized. Lineage: Eukaryota; Metazoa; Chordata; Lepidosauria; Squamata; Viperidae. The transcript is spliced from 3 exons. The record is from RefSeq and is a predicted model, not a curated record.
AGAAGCGAAUCGGGGCCUGGCACCGCCCUCGAGCAGCGAGAGGAGGGCCCGAGGUGCGCCGUCCUCUUUUCCUCCCCUCUGGCUGGAUAAACCCCGGGCGGGUCCGGUGGUUUUCGUUGCUACGACCGCCUCCAGCGGGAUUCAGAGGAGCCCGUCGAGGAGUGCGUGACGCACCCCCUCCCUCCCUUCCUCCGCCCCUCCGCUCUCUUCUCCCGGAGAACAAAAGAAGAAUUCUUUGCACAGAUCACUGAAAGAUGAUUCUUUAUACAUCUAUAAUAAUCACCCAAGCCAUCACUGCAAAGUAAAUAUUCUAACAUUUGGAAUUUUUCAGAACUUUUUAUUAAGGACUUUGUAAAGAGGAGUGUGUGAGUUCUGUUAAAUAAAUACAAAAGACUGAUUACCACUUAAACAAACCCCCUUGUUUUGGAAACUGUAGCCAGGACCAGCCUAUUUUUCCUAUCUCCUCAUUCCCCAUUCUGUGUUCAUGCAAUGAACAGGUGAAACAUGCUAUGCAUUCUCACAUUUUUUUUUUCAAUUGUAAAAGUUUAACAUUUUCCUCUUUUUUUGCCAAGAAUGGAAAAGGGAGGGGACAUUCCUUUGGAAUGUGGCUUCUAUUUCCCAUGGUAGUUGAUUAUCCAAUUCAGCAGAAGCAUGGAGGUGGGGGAAGCACUAGAUCUGUACUAUCCAAGAAGCGGGGGAAGAAGAAACAGCAGCUACAAUCUGAAUCACAGAUGGAAAAUAAAUACCAAAACUGAGGAGCAGAAAAGGGGAGAAAUAUGAUUUCCUCUAAGUUAUGGGGAAGCUUCAGGUAAGAGAAGAAAGACAAUCCACCUGUGGGCUAUGCAACCAAUGAUCCAUGAAUCACAGUUUCUAAUUCUAUCCCAGACAGAGGACCAGGCAAGCUGUGAUGGAGAAUAAUGAUAUAAUGAGGGAUCAGUGGUGAAGAAUGAAAACCACUGCUUAGAAAUUCUUUCAAACUUGGAUGGAGUCCUGGAGGAGAUUUGAUGCACCUGGAAGAUGCCCUUCGAGCACCAGUACUCCCUUCUUUCUAAAUUACAUUGGAAUAAAGGUUCAGUCAUUGUCCACAAAUCUCAAAUCAGCAGACACCUAAUUGACUUGGAUCUUAUCUUGGGAGGGAAACAGUCUGUUAAUGUGAUGCAUGUUUUCCUAGGGGAUAAACAAUAAGAAGUGAGGCUUCACCUUCCAGAUCCUUACCUGUAAAAGUUAUUCAAAAGCUCCCACAUCCAUAAAGCUGCAAAUCCAAGUAUUGUUUUUAUUCAAAGACAUGAAUUAUUCUGCAAAUAUGCCAAUAAAGAAAACCUGCAAACUCA